GGGUGCCCAAAGUGCUGUUUGUGCAGGUAGCUAACCUGAGAGCCUACUGCAAAACCAGCACUUCCCGACACACAGAGGCACU
MicroRNA precursor from Lepisosteus oculatus (spotted gar), 82 nucleotides. Ensembl annotates it as microRNA 93. Its record names the gene mir93. The record is from Ensembl. NCBI's taxonomy places the organism in Eukaryota, Metazoa, Chordata, Actinopteri, Semionotiformes, Lepisosteidae.